Molecule: non-coding RNA, 89 nt
Filed under: Cellulosimicrobium funkei
Lineage: Bacteria; Bacillati; Actinomycetota; Actinomycetes; Micrococcales; Promicromonosporaceae
Description: ZTP sequence
Rfam family: ZMP/ZTP riboswitch aptamer (pfl RNA motif)
About the family: Previously known as pfl RNA.
Source: Rfam by way of RNAcentral
GGCGACGGCCGCGACUGGCGAGGGUGGGAACGACCACCGGGGAGCGGCCGGAUCAACCUGCUGGUGCGUCGACCGCCUGGGCGCCUGGG